GUCCAGACUCCUACGGGAGGCAGCAGUGGGGAAUAUUGCACAAUGGGGGAAACCCUGAUGCAGCGACGCCGCGUGAGUGAAGAAGUAUUUCGGUAUGUAAAGCUCUAUCAGCAGGGAAGAAAAUGACGGUACCUGAUUAAGAAGCCCCGGCUAACUACGUGCCAGCAGCCGCGGUAAUACGUAGGGGGCAAGCGUUAUCCGGAUUUACUGGGUGUAAAGGGAGCGUAGACGGUUGCGCAAGUCUGGAGUGAAGGGCGGGGGCCCAACCCCCGGACUGCUCUGGAAACUGUGUAACUGGAGUGCAGGAGAGGUAAGUGGAAUUCCUAGUGUAGCGGUGAAAUGCGUAGAUAUUAGGAGGAACACCAGUGGCGAAGGCGGCUUACUGGACUGUAACUGACGUUGAGGCUCGAAAGCGUGGGGAGCAAACAGGAUUAGAUACCCGUGUA
RNAcentral lists this ribosomal RNA (446 nucleotides) under uncultured bacterium. RNAcentral's name for it is "bacterial SSU rRNA". It matches the Rfam family "Bacterial small subunit ribosomal RNA", at positions 329 to 792 of the family's 1533-position model. The record is from RNAcentral.